GGGGACGUACUGGUUUCGACGGGGGUGUUGAAGCUAGAGUAGCGAGUAGUGGAUUCCGGGACCACUAUAAAACCUGGAAUUUAAAUAUAAACGCUAAAAACGAUAAUUUAGCUUUAGCUGCGUAAGUCAGCUAACGUCCUACCAAUCAUUCCCGCAUGAUUGGAUAGGGCGCCGAUUUAGCGGGGAACUACUAAUCCAAAGCUUUGAGGAUUAGUGGAAUUUAUGAAGCUAGCGUAGCCUAAAUCUUGUCAGUUAGAGUUAGGUGAGGCGAAUCUUAAAAAACUGACUGCACUCGGAGAAUCUCUAGUGGAUAUGCCUCCGGACAGGGGUUCAACUCCCCUCGUCUCCACCA
This is a non-coding RNA of Garciella nitratireducens DSM 15102, 352 nucleotides long. The record is from Rfam. Lineage: Bacteria; Bacillati; Bacillota; Clostridia; Eubacteriales; Eubacteriaceae.